RNAcentral lists this ribosomal RNA (468 nucleotides) under uncultured bacterium. RNAcentral's name for it is "partial 16S ribosomal RNA". It matches the Rfam family "Bacterial small subunit ribosomal RNA", at positions 28 to 507 of the family's 1533-position model. The record is from RNAcentral.
GACGAACGCUGGCGGCGUGCUUAACACAUGCAAGUCGAACGGAAAGGCCCUGCUUUUGUGGGGUGCUCGAGUUGCGAACGGGUGAGUAACCCGUGAGUAACCUGUCCUUGACUUUGGGAUAACUUCAGGACACUGGGGCUCAUACCGGCUAGGAGCUCCUGCUGCAUGGUGGGGGUUGGAAAGUUUCGGCGGUUGGGGAUGGACUCGCGGCUUAUCAGCUUGUUGGUUGGGUAGUGGCUUACCAAGGCUUUGACGGGUAGCCGGCCUGAGCGGGUGACCGGCCACAUUGGGACUGAGAUACGGCCCAGACUCCUACGGUAGGCAACAGUGGGGAAGAUUGCACAAGGGGCUGAAGCCUGAUGCAGCAACGCCGCGUGCGGGAUGACGUCCUUCGGGUUGUAAACCGCUUUCGCCUUUGACGAAGUGUGAGUGACGGUAAUGGGUAAAGAAGCACCGGCUAACUACGUG